UAGGAACGUUUUUUUUUAAAUAGAUCAAAAUACGAUCAGGGUGAGUCUUUAACUGUAUUUAUCUUGUGCAAUAUUAAGGUAAAAAAUUAAGCAGUGUUUUUGAAACUUCUUCUAUAAAAAUGUCAAACAAUGCUGCCUAUAUGUCCAAAAGUUGAGGUUUUAUAUGAAUCUCUGAAGUGUUUAACCUUUAUGCCAUAGUUUUAAGAACAAUCACCAGAAAUGCGGUUAAACCUCGAUUCUGCGCUGAGUCACUUUUGAGAUCUCAUUUUUAAAGAAGGAAUGAUGCAGACAGACACACAAAACAUUACCAUUGUCUUCUAUUUCACCAUUCUCCUGUUAUAAUCAGAGCAACACAACGUUUGUGUAACCACAGAGCCCUGAACUUCUGGCAUGGCCUCCAAUCAGAGGUGAACCAAAACUUGUCCAUAAACCUCAUUAACCAGGUGUACAAAUUCAGCAGCUUCCUGGCCUGACAUUUGACUGACUGGUUGCUGAUAUUAGACCACUUUUUCUUCUGGAGCCCCCAUCUUUAGGGCGUGCAAAAUGCUUUUUCAGUGCUCGGAGACUACAGACGGUCUGCUGUUUGCAGCGGCUGCGAUCACAAUGGCAUAUCUUUGACAUAACCUACACUUCUGUCUCGAUGAUGUGCCUCAGCUAUACAUCAUAAAAGUGACUCGGGGCCAGAAGAAAAUGAAGACAAAGUGUAUCAUAGAGGAAUGGAUAAAGCAGAGGGGAAUACAAUCUUUCCAAGGUCCUUUGGUCUGAGGAUCAGGUCACUGCUACAGGACAAGGCCUGCAGGAUGUGUGCUUUACAGGAGGAGACCUCGGCCCAGCGCCACAAAGCUCCCACCGCCACUUAAACACGGGAAUGGCGGAACUGUCACGCUAAAAAUGUCAGAUGCUUUUUAUUCUCAGCACCUCCAUAAUGUCUGAUUUAUGCCACCCAGUAAAAAUCUAACAAUCCACCAAAGCUUUUGUCUUCAUGGGGAUAUUCUGCUGCAUUUUUGGUUCUUUUGCGUAGAUCUGCCUGGAGUGUC
Molecule: long non-coding RNA, 1037 nt
Filed under: Oryzias sinensis (Chinese medaka)
Lineage: Eukaryota; Metazoa; Chordata; Actinopteri; Beloniformes; Adrianichthyidae
Description: lncRNA (ENSOSIG00000014245.1)
Source: RNAcentral